Molecule: RNA transcript, 1879 nt
Organism: Diachasmimorpha longicaudata
Lineage: Eukaryota; Metazoa; Arthropoda; Insecta; Hymenoptera; Braconidae
Exons: 2
Source: RefSeq, a predicted model, not a curated record
UUCCCCUAAAACUCAAACUUUUUUUAUGAUUGUAUGCCCUUGUACUUUAUUUAAGAAAUUCAUGAACUUAUGUACGUGAUAAUUACUAACCGGUUAAUGCGGUCAUUUACAUCAUCGGCAUUUGCAAUAAAAAUAAGAAUCAAUGCCCACCCACAGCGAUAUCCAGAGGUCGAAGGUAAACUCAGCCAGCAUCAUCUCUCCGCUGACGUCACACAAGUUGAAGAGAGUGUGUAUUAAUAGUGAAAAAGAGUCCUCGCAAUUAUUGGCUCUGAUGGCUUUGAAAAUAGCCAACGGCAAUGGAAAAUACAUGAGAAUAUCUAGCUCCUUAGACGCCAUUCGCAAUUGAAUCGGCCGAAGUAAUCAGCCUCCAUCAAACUCGCCGAUUCUCGUCUCGGUGGAUGACGUCAGUGGAUCAGGGAAUCCUCUGGUGGAUGAGCAAACACGUCGAUUCCUCAGAAAUGAGAAAUUCUCGGGGGAUAAAUCACAUUUGUUUCAGUUUAAAAAAUUGAAAAAUGGGGAAAGAUGAUGAACAUUGCAAACGAGUUUUAUUGACUUGUGAGAGAGGAAAAAAUUGCGGUGAUUGCGAUAAGUGGAUAAUAAAUGGACAUGUCAUACUUUUAUGGAAAUUAUCAUUGCGUAAUGCUGGGUGAUGUAGGGGGAAUUCAUUUCGGUGACGACCAAUUAAUCCCGAGCCUGAAGUGCAAAUGUCUUUUUGCCGGGCGUGACAAAUUAAUAAUGAAAUCAGUUCGAUUGAGUUCACGUGAGAAUUAUGAGCCCUCCAUAGUUUACGAAAAAUAUCGUACCUACGAAGUUGACGGGUAAUACACCACUAGGUAAAAAAGUCCCUCAGAAUGGAGAACAAUAUACUCGAUUCAAGCAUGAUAUCGUUCUGUGACGACGAACAAACUUCCAAUUAAUUAGUGUCAUCAUCCAGCGUUCGUGCCCUAAAUCCGGAAAGGGUGGAAACGACGUCAGAAUGCGGAAUUACGGGAGGAUAGUUUGAAGGGAAACGGAUGACGGAAGCGAAUGUAACCAACCGGGUGGAGAGGAAUGGAGGCAGUUGUCUCGCAUGUGCUGCAGUCGGCUCACGUAUUUUUUGACCCUCAAUGCGACGGAGUUCGACGGCCGCUGCAAGCGACAAGGUCGCGCGUGAUGCAAGAGUUCUCCCUCUCCUGGUUCCCUCUCGCACCACUCCCACCGCCCCCUGCAUCACGAGUUGGCCACGUAUGCGAUUGUACGCCAAGAUUUCGCGAACUUUGCUUCAUUAAUUAUCUUUGAAAGAAAAAAAACUCGCGGGCAACUGCAGUUUUGUAAUUAUUUCCCUCAUUGAAAACACAUUUUAACAUUAAAUAAUAAUAAUAAAAACUGGGAUUAUGCAAUUGGAUUGAAGGAUGAAGAACAAAGGAGCAAACAAAACAUGAACGAUAAAAUCGCAGAAGACAAUGUUGGCAUAUUACGGAAUCUAGACAGGCAAUUGCAAAGCCUGUGCAACAGUGAUUUUGCAUAUCAGUUGGAUUAUGUAAUUUACCACUGCUAGUAGAUAUCCCCGUCUAAUUCUUAGGAAAAUGAGAGGGAGAGGGCCGCAGACGAAUGAAAAAUAGUGUAAACUAGGGUGGGGGGGAGGUGGUAUUACACAGCUUGAGUUGAAUCACCAGUACCAGAUACUUUAUAAAGUUAUAAUACGAUUGUAGUUCCACUUUCGUCGAUGGGUGAGAGAUCGAUGCUCUUUUCCUCGAUUUGCAACGCGUUUCAAUUAGAUUAACUUUGUAACAGUUGCGAGACUUUAUAAUAUAUCCGAUUCAGCAUCAAUCGGUUGAUGCAAUUCCAAAAGCCACGCCUGUAACUGCAUUUUAAUGCAUUAUGAUCGAAUAAAAUGCGA